RNAcentral lists this small RNA (652 nucleotides) under Pongo abelii (Sumatran orangutan). RNAcentral describes it as "processed transcript". Lineage: Eukaryota; Metazoa; Chordata; Mammalia; Primates; Hominidae. The record is from RNAcentral.
GCCAGAUGCCUUUUUAGGUUAUUGAAUGAUAAAGUGCUUCUAUCACUCUCCCCACCCGAAACCUGUGUGCGUAAACACCUGAUUCAGAAUUUCUCGCUUCUCUUAUGUUUUAUGGGUUGACUCAUCAUUUGGGUCCUCCCCACCUCCAGGAGAAUGGUUUUACUUUGAACUGCUUUGUAAUACUGAUAUAACUUAAGCAUGCAUUGAGGCUCAAGGGCAGGGAGGUGGAUUCCAUCACAGCAUGAAAUACUGAAAUACAACUACACAAAACCAGUCUCCAUUACCCAAUUCAGAAAGUGGAAAAGCUAAGCCUUGUUCUAAUUUCUGUUCAGGUACUACUUAGUGGGCAUGCAGGAGCAGCAGUGCAUUGAUGGGGAGUGGAGCAGUGCACUUCCAGUCUGCAAAUUGAUCCAGGAAGCUCCCAAACCAGAGUGUGAGAAGGCACUUCUUGCCUUUCAGGAGAGUAAGGACCUCUGCGAAGCCAUGGAGAACUUUAUGCAACAAUUAAAGGAAAGUGGCAUGACAAUGGAGGAGCUAAAAUAUUCUCUGGAGCUGAAGAAAGCUGACUUGAAGGCAAAAUUGUUGUAACACUGCAGCUGAGCAGAUGUAAUAGAAAUAAACCUAUGAAUAAAUUUUCUUCUUGGUUCUGAGA